CCCUUAGACGUUCUGGGCCGCACGCGUGCUACACUGAGUAAUUCAAUGGGUAAGGGAACGCUAGAGCAUUACCUAAUCUUGAAAUUUGCUCGUGAUGGGGAUCGACGGUUGCAAUUUUCCGUCGUGAACGAGGAAUACCUUGUAGGCGCAUGUCAUCAUCAUGCGCCGAAUACGUCCCUGCCCUUUGUACACACCGCCCGUCGCUCCUACCGAUUGAGUGAUCCGGUGAGGCUCUGGGACCUGGACGGAAAGAGCGUUUCGCUUGUUCUGUUUGGGAAACUUGGUCGAACCUUAUCAUUUAGAGGAAGGAGAAGUCGUAACA
This 322-nucleotide ribosomal RNA is filed under the name uncultured eukaryote. RNAcentral describes it as "partial 18S ribosomal RNA". It matches the Rfam family "Eukaryotic small subunit ribosomal RNA", at positions 1470 to 1796 of the family's 1831-position model. The record is from RNAcentral.